This 370-nucleotide ribosomal RNA is filed under the name uncultured organism. Its description in RNAcentral is "partial 16S ribosomal RNA". It matches the Rfam family "Bacterial small subunit ribosomal RNA", at positions 527 to 896 of the family's 1533-position model. The record is from RNAcentral.
GUAGGGUGCGAGCGUUAAUCGGAAUUACUGGGCGUAAAGCGUGCGCAGGCGGUUAUGUAAGACAGAUGUGAAAUCCCCGGGCUCAACCUGGGAACUGCAUUUGUGACUGCAUGGCUAGAGUACGGUAGAGGGGGAUGGAAUUCCGCGUGUAGCAGUGAAAUGCGUAGAUAUGCGGAGGAACACCGAUGGCGAAGGCAAUCCCCUGGACCUGUACUGACGCUCAUGCACGAAAGCGUGGGGAGCAAACAGGAUUAGAUACCCUGGUAGUCCCACGCCCCUAAACGAUGUCAACUGGUUGUUGGGAAUUAGUUUUCUCAGUAACGAAGCUAACGCGUGAAGUUGACCGCCUGGGAGUACGGCCGCAAGGUUG